RNAcentral lists this unclassified non-coding RNA (667 nucleotides) under Hevea brasiliensis (rubber tree). The record is from RNAcentral. Lineage: Eukaryota; Viridiplantae; Streptophyta; Magnoliopsida; Malpighiales; Euphorbiaceae.
UUUUCCUAGUCUGCUAAAACGUAAGCAUUUGCUCUUAAAAAGGUGGUCAUUUGUCUUCGGAUAAGUUGUUAAAAAAUUAUUAAUAGCUUAUAUGGUUAUGUCUGUAUAGUUUAGCGAAAUUUGAUUAGAAAAGGCCAAAGAAAUUCUAUUUAAGGUAGAAUUAUUGAGCUUGAUACAGGCUAAUAAGUCAUGCAAGAAACUUUUCCCUGUCUUGACGAUGUCUUUUUCAUUGCUUCUUUUGGUUGGGAUUAUGCUUUUUAGCACAACAGUGGUCUACUGUGACUUGUAUGACUAAGUGUCAAUUAUUAAUUGGACGAAGAUCAAGGUAUAUAUAUAUACUAUAUUUAUUUAUAUGAUCUAUUGUUCGUAUGAAUGCCUAUGAAGAUUUAUAUAAACAUUUCUUUUAUUUAUUUGUCCUUUGGCUAUUAUUACACAAUUUUCCAGUUUAAGUAGAGAUAAUCAAGUUGAGUCGGUUCAGGUUAGGUUAGAGGCACUCAUUGACUUGACUCUUUUAGAUUGUUUUAAGUCAUUUUUGUUAUUAUUGUUUGUGGGUGUAGUUUUGCAUAUUACAAUGUUAAAUUUUAAAAAUGAGGACCAAAAGUAAAAAAAGGAGUAAGUUUUAAGGUUCUUGUUUGCAGUUUUAAAUUCUAAAAUUAAAUUAUUUUUG